This 73-nucleotide transfer RNA is filed under the name Trichonephila inaurata madagascariensis. It matches the Rfam family "tRNA". Rfam says of the family: Transfer RNA (tRNA) molecules are approximately 80 nucleotides in length. Their secondary structure includes four short double-helical elements and three loops (D, anti-codon, and T loops). Further hydrogen bonds mediate the characteristic L-shaped molecular structure. tRNAs have two regions of fundamental functional importance: the anti-codon, which is responsible for specific mRNA codon recognition, and the 3' end, to which the tRNAs corresponding amino acid is attached (by aminoacyl-tRNA synthetases). tRNAs cope with the degeneracy of the genetic code in two manners: having more than one tRNA (with a specific anti-codon) for a particular amino acid; and 'wobble' base-pairing, i.e. permitting non-standard base-pairing at the 3rd anti-codon position. The record is from Rfam by way of RNAcentral. Lineage: Eukaryota; Metazoa; Arthropoda; Arachnida; Araneae; Nephilidae.
AUCCCUGUAGCGCAAUGAAUAGCGCGUUGGACUUCUAAUUCAAAGGACGUGGUCUCGAAUCCCACCUGGGAUA